This 37-nucleotide ribosomal RNA is filed under the name fungal sp. GFI 125. RNAcentral's name for it is "partial 28S ribosomal RNA". Lineage: Eukaryota; Fungi. The record is from RNAcentral.
UCGACCUCAGAUCAGGUAGGAAUACCCGCUGAACUUA